CUCUUUAGAGUCAAAGUGUGAAACAGACACGGGGAAGGGCUGCCCGCCCCCAGCAGGGAUGAGGAUGAGGCCCCAGGACCAUUGCUGCCUCUGCAGCCAGCAACUGGUGGUUGAAGCACUGCGCUGCCUGGAUGCUCCUUUCCCAGCACACGGCAUGAGCACACCCGCAGUGAAAACAAUGCAGGCCACAUCUGAUCUCCAACACAACGCGUUUUUGUGGGUCCCGAGAGGAGGUGCUAUCCACUGCUUAAUUUAAAGUAUUCUGUUUCUCCCUGAGCUACUCUUAAUCCGCUCUCUCAUUUCUGCUGCCAAAUGUUAACAGACCAAAAGGCACACGGGACAGGAGACACUUUAUCAGUGCAGUUAAAAAAAAAAACACCUAUGGCUAAAAUAAAUAGUUAAGAGACUGAGCUACACGUUCCAGCUCUAUAAAAGACUGCAGUGCCUCUGCCAGAGCUGGAGUGGUGGAUGAUUCAAAUUUGGUCAUUGUUUAAGAUUACACUUUAUCCCUGAAACUUGAUACUACUUAGAAAUACAUAUGUUGGGAGUGUUAUAGUAACUGUAGCUUAGUCAAACACAUUCAUGAUCCUUCCUGAAACACACAAUCACUCGGUGAAUAAAGCUUGUGAAGGUCAGUAACCACAAAGAUGCAAAGCAAAAAAAGUUUGUACACGUCAGACACCAGUCUGAUGGCAAUUUCCAAAAGGCUAAUUUAAUGGCAAUUGGAUUUUUCCUGCCCUACUGCACCAUUAGCUGACAACCCGCUUCUUCAUCACAUCUGCAAACAGUUCAGUUAGACACUUUUGACAUCUCCCACUUAGAAAAGCUAUUUCCAGGAAGCUAUUAACAAAAAUGGAUUCUUCCUGGUCAAGCUCGGGGUGAAGAGAGCCUUUAGUUAGGGAUGUCAAGGUUGUAGUAAUUGGGUGCCCAGUGUAUAACUCAAUAAAAAGAAAAUCAAUUUUGG
Long non-coding RNA from Gallus gallus (chicken), 964 nucleotides. RefSeq lists it as uncharacterized. The record is from RefSeq and is a predicted model, not a curated record. NCBI's taxonomy places the organism in Eukaryota, Metazoa, Chordata, Aves, Galliformes, Phasianidae. The transcript has 3 exons.